AGUGAACGCUGGCGGUAGGCCUAACACUUGCAAGUCGAACGGCAGCACAGUAAGAGCUUGCUCUUACGGGUGGCGAGUGGCGGACGGGUGAGGAAUACAUCGGAAUCUACUUUUUCGUGGGGGAUAACGUAGGGAAACUUACGCUAAUACCGCAUACGACCUACGGGUGAAAGCAGGGGAUCUUCGGACCUUGCGCGAUUGAAUGAGCCGAUGUCGGAUUAGCUAGUUGGCGGGGUAAAGGCCCACCAAGGCGACGAUCCGUAGCUGGUCUGAGAGGAUGAUCAGCCACACUGGAACUGAGACACGGUCCAGACUCCUACGGGAGGCAGCAGUGGGGAAUAUUGGACAAUGGGCGCAAGCCUGAUCCAGCCAUACCGCGUGGGUGAAGAAGGCCUUCGGGUUGUAAAGCCCUUUUGUUGGGAAAGAAAAGCAGCAGGUUAAUACCCCGCUGUUCUGACGGUACCCAAAGAAUAAGCACCGGCUAACCUCGUG
Molecule: ribosomal RNA, 492 nt
Filed under: uncultured bacterium
Lineage: Bacteria
Description: partial 16S ribosomal RNA
Rfam family: Bacterial small subunit ribosomal RNA
Source: RNAcentral